Molecule: ribosomal RNA, 468 nt
Filed under: uncultured bacterium
Lineage: Bacteria
Description: partial 16S ribosomal RNA
Rfam family: Bacterial small subunit ribosomal RNA
Source: RNAcentral
GACGAACGCUGGCGGCGUGCUUAACACAUGCAAGUCGAACGGAAAGGCCCUGCUUUUGUGGGGUGCUCGAGUGGCGAACGGGUGAGUAGCACGUGAGUAACCUUCCUUUGACUUUGGGAUAACUUCAGGAAACUGGGGCUAAUACCGGAUAGGAGCUCCUGCUGCAUGGUGGUGGUUGGAAAGUUUCGGCGGUUGGGGAUGGACUCGCGGCUUAUGAGCUUGUUGGUGGGGUAGUGGCUUACCAAGGCUUUGACGGGUAGCCGGCCUGGGAAGGGAGUCGGGCACAGUGGUACUGGGAUAGGCAGCAGUCUACAAUGGUAGACAAUAGGCGGGAAUCUUGCACAGUGAGGCCACGUCUGUUGGAAAGAGCUCGCGAGAGGGAUAAAGGUCUUCGGGUUAUGAAACGCUUUGAGCUGUUACCGAGCGUUGGUGACGGUAAUGGGUAAAGAAGCACCGGCUAACUACGUG